Small nuclear RNA from Gorilla gorilla gorilla (western lowland gorilla), 107 nucleotides. Lineage: Eukaryota; Metazoa; Chordata; Mammalia; Primates; Hominidae. The record is from Ensembl.
GGGCUUACUUUGAUAGCACAUACACUAAAAUUGGAUACACAGAGAGAAGAUUAGCACAGUUCGUGUGCAAAGGUGCCACACAAAUUCAUGAAGCAUUCUAUAUUUUU